GUGCAGCAGGCGCGAAACUUUACAAUGUGCGAAAGCACGAUAAGGGAACUCUGAGUGCCUCCUAAGGAGGCUGUUCAGGUGUCUAAAAGCACCUGAAGGAAGGGCUGGGUAAGACCGGUGCCAGCCGCCGCGGUAACACCGGCAGCCCAAGUGGUAGCCACGUUUAUUGGGUCUAAAGCGUCCGUAGCCGGCUGGGGUAAGUUCCUUGGGAAAUUUGGCUGCUUAACAGUCAAGCUUUCAGGGAAUACUGCCCGGCUUGGGACCGGGAGAGGUCAGAGGUACUCCAGGGGUAGGGUGAAAUCCAUUUAAUCCUUGGGGGACCACCGGUAGCGAAGGCGUCUGACCAGACCGGGUCCGACGGUGAGG
Molecule: ribosomal RNA, 366 nt
Filed under: uncultured microorganism
Description: bacterial SSU rRNA
Rfam family: Archaeal small subunit ribosomal RNA
Source: RNAcentral